This is an unclassified non-coding RNA of Cercocebus atys (sooty mangabey), 172 nucleotides long. Lineage: Eukaryota; Metazoa; Chordata; Mammalia; Primates; Cercopithecidae. The record is from Ensembl.
CUGACAGCCCCCGGGGCUCUGAGUCUCCAUUGAUCCACUGUGCACGCACAGCACAGACAGGAGCAGUGCGAGCUUCUCACUACCACCAGUAUGCCUCAGCACAGAUGUGGGGGAUCAGGUCUAAGGCAGACAGAACAGCUCAGCUUUCAUAUUUACCCAGUCCUUAGUUAUU